AGAGUUUGAUCAUGGCUCAGAACGUACGCUGGCGGCACGCCUAACACAUGCAAGUCGAACGAAGUAGCAAUACUUAGUGGCAGACGGGUGAGUAACAUGUGGGUAUCUGCCCUUUGGCCUGGAAUAACACGAGGAAACUUGUGCUAAUACCGGAUAAGUCUUUACGGAGAAAGCUUUAUGCACCAUUGGAUGAGCCCGCACUUGAUUAGUUUGUUGGUGGGGUAAUGGCCUACCAAGACUGUGAUCAAUAGCUGAUUUGAGAGGAUGAUCAGCCACAUUGGGACUGAGACACGGCCCAAACUCCUACGGGAGGCAGCAGUGGGGAAUCUUGCACAAUGGAGGAAACUCUGAUGCAGCGAUGCCGCGUGAGUGAAGAAGGCCUUUGGGUUGUAAAGCUCUUUCGUCGGGGAAGAAAAUGACUGUACCCGAAUAAGAAGGUCCGGCUAACUUCGUGCCAGCAGCCGCGGUAAU
This 471-nucleotide ribosomal RNA is filed under the name uncultured bacterium. Its description in RNAcentral is "bacterial SSU rRNA". It matches the Rfam family "Bacterial small subunit ribosomal RNA", at positions 8 to 524 of the family's 1533-position model. The record is from RNAcentral.